This 796-nucleotide ribosomal RNA is filed under the name uncultured archaeon. Its description in RNAcentral is "bacterial SSU rRNA". It matches the Rfam family "Archaeal small subunit ribosomal RNA", at positions 85 to 879 of the family's 1478-position model. The record is from RNAcentral.
ACGGCUCAGUAACACGUGGAUAACCUGCCCUUGGGUCCGGCAUAACCCCGGGAAACUGGGGAUAAUUCCGGAUAACGCAUAUGUGCUGGAAUGCUUUAUGCGUCAAAUGGAUUCGUCUGCCCAAGGAUGGGUCUGCGGCCUAUCAGGUAGUAGUGGGUGUAAUGUACCUACUAGCCGACAACGGGUACGGGUUGUGAGAGCAAGAGCCCGGAGAUGGAUUCUGAGACAUGAAUCCAGGCCCUACGGGGCGCAGCAGGCGCGAAAACUUUACAAUGCGGGAAACCGUGAUAAGGGGACACCGAGUGUCAGCAUCAUAUGCUGGCUGUCCAGGUGUGUAAAAUACACCUGUUAGCAAGGGCCGGGCAAGACCGGUGCCAGCCGCCGCGGUAACACCGGCGGCCCGAGUGGUGAUCGUGAUUAUUGGGUCUAAAGGGUCCGUAGCCGGUUUGGUCAGUCCUCCGGGAAAUCUGAUAGCUCAACUAUUAGGCUAUCGGGGGAUACUGCCAGACUUGGAACCGGGAGAGGUAAGAGGUACUUCAGGGGUAGGAGUGAAAUCUUGUAAUCCCUGUGGGACCACCUGUGGCGAAGGCGUCUUACCAGAACGGGUUCGACGGUGAGGGACGAAAGCUGGGGGCACGAACCGGAUUAGAUACCCGGGUAGUCCCAGCCGUAAACGAUGCUCGCUAGGUGUCAGGCAUGGCGCGACCGUGUCUGGUGCCGCAGGGAAGCCGUGAAGCGAGCCACCUGGGAAGUACGGCCGCAAGGCUGAAACUUAAAGGAAUUGGCGGGGGAGCAC